AGUGUGUGUGUGUGUGUGUGUGUCUAUAUAUUAGUAUGGUAGUAGAAAACUACCACAACACUUUGCCUAUUUGCUCUCAGAUAGAUAUUGUUUUAGUGCCCCCGGUGGAAUUUAGGGAUAACACAAUGUGCAAGGUGCAAAUUUUGAAUUACCUGCAAUGUACUGUUAUAAGAAUCAGCGCAAUUAAUAGAGAUCUCAGUUUUUCAGCUUCGUCAACUUGCUCUCCUACAAGAAUACCUGAAAGCUCAAACCCGACUUGCUCUCCUACAAGAAUACCUGAAAGCUCAAACCUGGACAAGAAGGUUUUUGUCCAAAUCAACUCCUAGAGAUACAGAAGACUUUCAGCGGGCGGUUAAAUUAUCUAGCACCCCCUAGUGCUGGUCAAACGAAGCUCUGACAAACGAGGCUGUCCUUGCAACUCUGUAGUACAAAGGUUGAUUGCUGCUAAGCUUUAUUCAUAUGGCACUUUGACGUCAUCUGGUGGUUAAAACGAUGACAAGCACCUAGCCGGUGUUCUCACAACUGUUCUCAUAACAUUCUUCAUGACAGAUUAUUUGUUUGUUUGUUUAUUUAUUUGAUUUUUAAAAAAUGAUUAAACACUACAAAAUUUGUGAAAUAAACAGUAGGCUAUUUUAAAUAAAUGUUAAAAU
This is a long non-coding RNA of Cyprinus carpio (common carp), 650 nucleotides long. The record is from Ensembl. NCBI's taxonomy places the organism in Eukaryota, Metazoa, Chordata, Actinopteri, Cypriniformes, Cyprinidae.